This 212-nucleotide ribosomal RNA is filed under the name uncultured Gardnerella sp. RNAcentral's name for it is "partial 16S ribosomal RNA". It matches the Rfam family "Bacterial small subunit ribosomal RNA", at positions 142 to 355 of the family's 1533-position model. The record is from RNAcentral. Lineage: Bacteria; Bacillati; Actinomycetota; Actinomycetes; Bifidobacteriales; Bifidobacteriaceae.
GGUAAACGGGGUAGGGGUAAGUAGCUGGAGUGCUCCAACUUGUACGCAUGUCUUGUUGGGAAAGUGUUUAGUGGCAUGGGAUGGGGUCGCGUCCUAUCAGCUUGUAGGCGGGGUAAUGGCCCACCUAGGCUUCGACGGGCAGCCGGCCUGAGAGGGCGGACGGCCACAUUGGGACUGAGAUACGGCCCAGACUCCUACGGGAGGCAGCAGUC